Molecule: ribosomal RNA, 737 nt
Filed under: uncultured bacterium
Lineage: Bacteria
Description: bacterial SSU rRNA
Rfam family: Bacterial small subunit ribosomal RNA
Source: RNAcentral
AGGGGUAUAGUUCUUCGGAAUAGAGACCGGCGCACGGGUGCGUAACGCGUAUGCAAUCUACCUUUCACAGAGGGAUAGCCCAGAGAAAUUUGGAUUAAUACCUCAUAGUAUGCAGAGUUGGCAUCAACACUGCAUUAAAGUCACAACGGUGAAAGAUGAGCAUGCGUCCCAUUAGCUAGUUGGUAAGGUAACGGCUUACCAAGGCUACGAUGGGUAGGGGUCCUGAGAGGGAGAUCCCCCACACUGGUACUGAGACACGGACCAGACUCCUACGGGAGGCAGCAGUGAGGAAUAUUGGUCAAUGGGCGCAAGCCUGAACCAGCCAUGCCGCGUGCAGGAUGACGGUCCUAUGGAUUGUAAACUGCUUUUGUACAGGAAGAAACAGUUCUACGUGUAGAACCUUGACGGUACUGUAAGAAUAAGGAUCGGCUAACUCCGUGCCAGCAGCCGCGGUAAUACGGAGGAUCCAAGCGUUAUCCGGAAUCAUUGGGUUUAAAGGGUCCGUAGGCGGUUUAGUAAGUCAGUGGUGAAAGCCCAUCGCUCAACGGUGGAACGGCCAUUGAUACUGCUAGACUUGAAUUAUUAGGAAGUAACUAGAAUAUGUAGUGUAGCGGUGAAACGCUUAGAGAUUACAUGGAAUACCAAUUGCGAAGGCAGGUUACUACUAAUGGAUUGACGCUGAUGGACGAAAGCGUGGGUAGCGAACAGGAUUACAUACCCUGGUAGUCCACGCCGUA